CCUACGGGUGGCAGCAGUGGGGAAUAUUGGGCAAUGGGCGCAAGCCUGACCCAGCAACGCCGCGUGAAGGAAGAAGGCUUUCGGGUUGUAAACUUCUUUUCUCAGGGACGAAGCAAGUGACGGUACCUGAGGAAUAAGCAACGGCUAACUACGUGCCAGCAGCCGCGGUAAUACGUAGGUGGCAAGCGUUAUCCGGAUUUACUGGGUGUAAAGGGCGGGUAGGCGGGAAAGCAAGUCAGAGGGGAAAACCAUGGGCUCAACCUGUGGCCUGCAUUUGAAACGGUUUUUCUUGAGUACUGGAGAGGCAGCCGGAAUUCCUAGUGUAGCGGUGCACUGCGUAGAUAUUAGGAGGAACACCAGUGGCGACGGCGGUCUGCUGGACAGCACCUGACGCUGAGGCGCGAAAGCGUGGGGAGCAAACAGGAUUAGAUACCCUUGUAGUC
RNAcentral lists this ribosomal RNA (443 nucleotides) under uncultured bacterium. RNAcentral's name for it is "partial 16S ribosomal RNA". It matches the Rfam family "Bacterial small subunit ribosomal RNA", at positions 338 to 795 of the family's 1533-position model. The record is from RNAcentral.